UGCAAGUCGAACGGAAAGGUCUCUUCGGAGAUACUCGAGUGGCGAACGGGUGAGUAACACGUGGGCAAUCUGCCCUGCACUUCGGGAUAAGCCUGGGAAACUGGGUCUAAUACCGGAUAGGACCACUUGGCGCAUGCCUUGUGGUGGAAAGCUUUUGCGGUGUGGGAUGGGCCCGCGGCCUAUCAGCUAGUUGGUGGGGUGAUGGCCUACCAAGGCGACGACGGGUAGCCGGCCUGAGAGGGUGUCCGGCCACACUGGGACUGAGAUACGGCCCAGACUCCUACGGGAGGCAGCAGUGGGGAAUAUUGCACAAUGGGCGCAAGCCUGAUGCAGCGACGCCGCGUGGGGGAUGACGGCCUUCGGGUUGUAAACCUCUUUCAGCAGGGACGAAGCGCAAGUGACGGUACCUGCAGAAGAAGCACCGGCCAACUACGUGCCAGCAGCCGCGGUAAUACGUAGGGUGCGAGCGUUGUCCGGAAUUACUGGGCGUAAAGAGCUCGUAGGUGGUUUGUCGCGUUGUUCGUGAAAACCGGGGGCUUAACCCUCGGCGUGCGGGCGAUACGGGCAGACUAGAGUACUGCAGGGGAGACUGGAAUUCCUGGUGUAGCGGUGGAAUGCGCAGAUAUCAGGAGGAACACCGGUGGCGAAGGCGGGUCUCUGGGCAGUAACUGACGCUGAGGAGCGAAAGCGUGGGGAGCGAACAGGAUUAGAUACCCUGGUAGUCCACGCCGUAAACGGUGGGUACUAGGUGUGGGUUUCCUUCCUUGGGAUCCGUGCCGUAGCUAACGCAUUAAGUACCCCGCCUGGGGAGUACGGCCGCAAGGCU
RNAcentral lists this ribosomal RNA (826 nucleotides) under Mycobacterium parascrofulaceum. RNAcentral describes it as "bacterial SSU rRNA". It matches the Rfam family "Bacterial small subunit ribosomal RNA", at positions 56 to 895 of the family's 1533-position model. The record is from RNAcentral. Lineage: Bacteria; Bacillati; Actinomycetota; Actinomycetes; Mycobacteriales; Mycobacteriaceae.